This 122-nucleotide ribosomal RNA is filed under the name Rhodnius prolixus. The record is from RNAcentral. Lineage: Eukaryota; Metazoa; Arthropoda; Insecta; Hemiptera; Reduviidae.
GCCAGCGACCAUACCACGUUGAAUACACCAGUUCUCGUCCGAUCACUGAAGUUAAGCAAUGUCGGGCGUGGUUAUUACCUGGAUGGGUGACCGCCUGGGAACACCGCGUCGUGCCGUGGGAC